UUUUAUCUUCGAAUAAAAGAGUUGGCUAAGAAGCAUAGUUGCACUCCUGUUCAACUCGCACUUGCAUGGAUUCUUCAUUAAAGGGAUGAUAUGGUACCUAUACCUAGAACAACUAAGAUUAAAAACCUUGAUGAGAACAUUGGUGCCCUGAGAGUGAAGCUUACAGAAGAUGAUUUAAAAGAGAUUUCUGAUGCAGUGCCGAUCUUUGAUGUAGCAGGGCCUAGAAUGUUUGAAAAAGAUCAUCACACCACAUAUCAGUUUGCAGACACACCACUGCCAAAGAAUUCGAAGUGAUUAGCUUUAUAUUUUUCAAUUUUGUAUUUCAUCUUUGCAGUUUGUUGUGGCUUUGCUAUGUUGUCUUAAUAAGAUUGUAAUGUUAGUGCAGCUUUUUUGCUAAGCAUUUUCAUAAUGUGAGGUGAAUGAGAUUUGAAUACCAAGUUUUAUA
This is a non-coding RNA of Camellia sinensis, 445 nucleotides long. The record is from RefSeq and is a predicted model, not a curated record. Lineage: Eukaryota; Viridiplantae; Streptophyta; Magnoliopsida; Ericales; Theaceae.